RNAcentral lists this ribosomal RNA (253 nucleotides) under uncultured bacterium. RNAcentral's name for it is "partial 16S ribosomal RNA". It matches the Rfam family "Bacterial small subunit ribosomal RNA", at positions 1248 to 1500 of the family's 1533-position model. The record is from RNAcentral.
AGCCAAGUCGUGAGGCGGAGCUAAUCCCUUAAAGCCAUUCUCAGUUCGGAUUGUAGGCUGAAACUCGCCUACAUGAAGCUGGAGUUACUAGUAAUCGCAGAUCAGAAUGCUGCGGUGAAUACGUUCCCGGGCCUUGUACACACCGCCCGUCACACCAUGGGAGUCGGUAACACCCGAAGUCGGUAGCCUAACCGCAAGGAGGACGCAGUCGAAGGUGGGAUUGAUGACUGGGGUGAAGUCGUAACAAGGUAAC